CCACUUGAAGUGAGAGUUAGAUGGAACUGAACCACCUCCGUUACAGCCGAUUGCAUGUUGAUCUGGGGUUCAGUUUCCUCUAAUAUCUCACUUUGAAUGG
This is a non-coding RNA of Triticum aestivum (bread wheat), 100 nucleotides long. Lineage: Eukaryota; Viridiplantae; Streptophyta; Magnoliopsida; Poales; Poaceae. The record is from Rfam.